This 249-nucleotide ribosomal RNA is filed under the name Salmonella enterica subsp. enterica serovar Senftenberg. RNAcentral describes it as "partial 16S ribosomal RNA". It matches the Rfam family "Bacterial small subunit ribosomal RNA", at positions 1 to 246 of the family's 1533-position model. RNAcentral also lists the same sequence under 2 other names. Lineage: Bacteria; Pseudomonadati; Pseudomonadota; Gammaproteobacteria; Enterobacterales; Enterobacteriaceae. The record is from RNAcentral.
AAAUUGAAGAGUUUGAUCAUGGCUCAGAUUGAACGCUGGCGGCAGGCCUAACACAUGCAAGUCGAACGGUAACAGGAAGCAGCUUGCUGCUUCGCUGACGAGUGGCGGACGGGUGAGUAAUGUCUGGGAAACUGCCUGAUGGAGGGGGAUAACUAUUGGAAACGGUGGCUAAUACCGCAUAACGUCGCAAGACCAAAGAGGGGGACCUUCGGGCCUCUUGCCAUCAGAUGUGCCCAGAUGGGAUUAGCU